Molecule: ribosomal RNA, 462 nt
Filed under: uncultured bacterium
Lineage: Bacteria
Description: partial 16S ribosomal RNA
Rfam family: Bacterial small subunit ribosomal RNA
Source: RNAcentral
CUACGGGAGGCUGCAGUCGAGAAUCUUCCGCAAUGGACGAAAGUCUGACGGAGCGACGCCGCGUGCGGGAUGAAGGCCUUCGGGUUGUAAACCGCUGUCAGUGGGGAGGAAAUGCAUCAGGGUUCUCCCUGGUGUUUGACCGAUCCGCAGAGGAAGCGCAGGCUAAGUUCGUGCCAGCAGCCGCGGUAACACGAACUGCGCGAACGUUAUUCGGAAUCACUGGGCUUAAAGAGUUCGUAGGCGGCCUUUCAAGUCGGGUGGGAAAUCCCUCGGCUCAACCGAGGAAUUGCGCCUGAUACGUGUUGGGCUUGAGGGGGAUAGGGGUGAGCGGAACUGAUGGUGGAGCGGUGAAAUGCGUUGAUAUCAUCAGGAACACCGGUGGCGAAGGCGGCUCACUGGAUCUCUUCUGACGCUGAGGAACGAAAGCUAGGGGAGCGAACGGGAUUAGAUACCCUUGUAGUC